This 253-nucleotide ribosomal RNA is filed under the name uncultured bacterium. Its description in RNAcentral is "partial 16S ribosomal RNA". It matches the Rfam family "Bacterial small subunit ribosomal RNA", at positions 524 to 776 of the family's 1533-position model. The record is from RNAcentral.
UACGAAGGGGGCUAGCGUUGUUCGGAUUUACUGGGCGUAAAGGGUGCGUAGGCGGUUUGGUAAGUCUGAUGCGAAAUCUAUGGGCUCAACUCAUAGUCUGCAUCGGAAACUGCCGGGCUUGAGUGUGGGAGAGGUGAGUGGAAUUCCUGGUGUAGCGGUGAAAUGCGUAGAUAUCAGGAGGAACACCUGUGGCGAAAGCGGCUCACUGGACCAUAACUGACGCUGAUGCACGAAAGCUAGGGGAGCAAACAGG